AGCAAACUCAGUAUGCAGCUAAAAGCUCCCAAGCUGAUUUGCAACGAAGUCAUUCACCCACCCAGGUUCCCGAAGGACAUGUUGUGAAAAGGGGACUGCAGUGGAUGAGGCUUGAAAGGUAACGUUACAGAAUAUUCUAUAAUCAUUAGACAUUGUUUUAAAAACAUUUCUAUAAUGUUACAGAUUUUAUACGUUCGUGUGGAUAUGUAUGACAUUCAAAACCGAAAAAUAAUUUGUCUAAAAUAACUGAAAUGUCUAAUUGUGGAUAUAGUGUUACUGCAUAAAAACUCCGGUGAGGCACGAAGUAAUGUCUCAGUACCUCAUUCUAGUGUUUAUCGCUAGCCCCCCUUUUAUUCCAAUAUAAAUAUAAACCGCACUUGUUUAGCAUUAUUUUAUUCAUUACUGCUUAUAUUGUUUUUUUAUUAACUUUCUCAUCCGUGGUUGUUUAAUUAUCAUUAUUUUUGUUGUUUAAUGCUUAUUUGGGGGUUUUGGGUUAACGUUCUGAGCCGUGGAGUCCCUAUCAUGCACAGCAGAUGGAGAUAUUUCACGAACGAUAUCAUGUCCUUGACCGGAAGUUACUGUUGUAAGCAGCAGCUGCUGUGUUUUCAUAUUGUCUCAUAGUAGCUAACAGUAGAAUCUAUGUUAUAUUUCUCGAUUCUGACUUCAGGUUGUAUUCAUUUCCCAACGAUUGUUUAAAAUCGCACUGGUCUAGCAACUUCUUAUUUGGUUUGCUGUGCUGUUCUUUCAUCCUUUUAGAGGUGCCUACUAGCUAGCAAUUUAACGUCAACAAACAAUUGUCUUGCGGGAAGUAAAACAUGUUAAGAUAAAAUCAAAUUUUAUUUGUCACGUGCAGAAUACAACUGUUACGGACUAAAAGGGGAACCCAGACGCGAGCCUGCCAGACGAGCUAAAUGGAGCACCAGCUGUUCUGGAUGACUGUGUGAUAAUGCUCUCUGUAGCUGAUGUGAGCAUGACCUUUUAAACAGGUCAACAUUCACAAAGCCAUGGUGCCAGAUGGAUUACAAGGAUGUGUACUCAAAGCAUGCGCGGACCAACUGGCAAGUGUCUUCACUGACAUUUUCAACCUCUCCCUGGCUGACUCUGUAAUACCAACAUGUUUCAAGCAGACCACCAUAGUCCCUGUGCCCAAGGAAGCGAAGGUAACCUGCCUAAAUGAUUACCGUCAGUAGCCAUGAAGUGCUUUGAAAGGCUGGUCAUGGCUCACAUCAAUAGCAUCCUCCCGGAUACCCUAGACCCACUCCAAUUCGCAUACCGCCCCAACAGAGCCACAGAUGACACAAUCUCAAUCACACUCCACGCUGCCUUUUCCCACCUGGACAAAAAUAACACCUAUGUGAGAAUGCUGUAGACUGUCUCAUUGUUGUCAGUGAUCAGGCCUACCACUGUUGUGUCAUCAGCAAACAUAAUGAUGGUGUUGGAUUUGUGCUUGGCCACGCAGUCGUGGGUGAACAGGGAGUACAGGAGGGGACUAAGCAUGCACCCCUGGGGGGCCCCUAUGUUGAGGAUCAGCGUGGCAGAUGUUGUUGCCUACCCUUACCACCUGGGGGCGGCCCAUCAGGAAGUCCAGGAUCCAGUUGCAGAGUGUUGUGUUUAGUCCCAGGGUCCAUAGUUUAGUGAUGAGCUUUGUGGCCUCUGGUGUUGAAUGCUGAGCUGUAGUCAAUGAACAGCAUUCUCACGUAGGUGUUCCUUUUGUCCGGAUGGGAAAGGGCAGUGUGGAGUGCGAUUGAAAUUGCAUCAUCUGUGAAUCUGUUGGGGCGGUAUGCAAAUUGAAGUGGGUCUAGGGUUUCUGGGAUGAUGGUGUUGAUUUGAACCAUUACCAUCCUUUCAAAGCACUUCAUGGCUCCUGGGCGGCAGUCAUUUAGGCAGUUUACCUUCAUUUUCUUGGGCACAGGGACUAUGGUGGUCUGCUUGAAAAAUGUAGGUAUUUCAGACUCGGUCAGGGAGAGGUCUAAAAUGUCAGUGAAGACACUUGCCAGUUAGUCAAUGCAUGAUCUGAGUACAUGUCCUGGGAAUCCGUCUGGCCCCUCAGCCCUGUGCAUGUUGACCUGUUUGAAGGUUUUGCUCACAUCGGCUACGGAUAGCGUGAUCACACAGUCGUCCGGAACAGCUGGUGCUCUCAUGCAUGCUUCAGUGUUGCUUGCCUCAAUGUGAGCAUAAAGGCAUUUAGCUUGUCUGAUAGGCUCACGUCACUGGGCAGCUCGCGGCUGGGUUUCCCUUUGUAGUCCAUAAUAGUUUGCAAGCCCUGCCACAUCUGACGAGCAUAAGAGCCGGUGUAUUAGGAUUUAAUCUUAGUCCUGUAUUGAUGUUUUCUUCUGUUUGAUGGUUCAUCUGAGGGCAUAGCGGGAUUUCUUAUAAGCGUCCGGAUUAGUGUCCCGCUCCUUGAAAGCGGCAGCUCUAGCCUUUAGCUCGGUGGGGAUGUUGCUUGUAAUCCAUGGCUUCUGGUUGGGAUAUGUGCAUACGGUCACUGUGGGGACAACGUCGUCGAUGCACUUAUUGACGAAGCCGGUGACAGAGGUGGUGUACUCCUCAAUGCCAUUGGAUGAAUCCCGGAAUAUAUUCCAGUCUGUGCUAGCAAAACAGUCCUGUAGCGUAGCAUCUGCAUCAUCUGACCACUGGUACCUCCUGCUUUAGGUACCUCCUGCUUUAGGGAGAGCUCUGUGUGUGGAGUAAAGGUGGUCUGGAGUUUUUUCCCCCUUCUGGUUGCACAUGUGACAUGCUGGUAGAAAUUAGGUGAAACGGAUUUAAGUUUGCCUGCAUUAAAGUCCCUGGCCACUAGGAGCGCCACUUCUGGAUGAGCAUUUUCUUGUUUGAUUAUGGCCUUAUACAGCUCGUUGAGUGCGGUCUUAGUACCAGCAAGUUGCAGAGAACGACUGCAUUGUUUGUUUAUCUAGCUAUCUAACAACUUGCAAGGCAAGUAUCACCCGGUCACGUUCAUAUUACCCACCUUGAUGCUGCAGACUCUCCCACUGUGUUUCCAGCAACAGCUUCUCCAGAACCUUCCAGCAAGUGGAGGGAAGGAGGGAGUAUGAGACCCCAGCUCCUCGCAGGUUCAACCCAAAGCCCACACUCUGGAACACCACUAAACUCCGGAACACCCAGAACACUACACAGCUGCACAGCUCCAGGACACAGAAUACACCUCACACAGUGCAAGGAAACUUCUGGAGGCCAUCCCUAACAACAGCAGCAGCUUGGCAGCCAGAGGUGUGCAGCAGCAGUUUUCUUAGGGUUGCCAUAGCAACACCACCGAUGGCAACCUGCAAACAGUGCAAUCCAGCCUCACGCUGCCUUUCCUGCUGCAGAGAGCACAGAGACAGUCAAAGAGACGGCUUCCGCCAAGACCAGCAAAACCACAAGCAGCAGCAGAAAUCACCCCCUCCUCUUCCUCCCUGCGUCUCCAUGUCUCAGGAAGGGGUGGCCAUGGUCCCCCCUCCAGCCAGGCCAACCUCCACCCUGCUCCAGCCGUGCCACUCCAUUUCUGAGGAUGCUCAGAGGGUCCUCCGGAAGGUCUAAUGACAUGAGAAUGUUUAACCCUCUCCUGCAACAGGGACACCACAGAUGAAGUCAGGAUUAAGAAAACAGUGGAUGCAUGGAUCAACGCCCUGAGUAAGGAUAUCCAGGCCGAUAUUUCAAAAUUAGACUUUGUUGCUCAGACGAGAGCUAAAGACUUGGUGAAAGAGUCUGCUGCUGCUGCCGUGUUACCCCAGAAAAACAAACUAAUAACACCACCACCUCCAGGCUUAAAGAUGUGAAGACCAUGAUUCAGACUGGUGGGCCUGGAACAGCAGGACGUAAACCCCUGUCAGAGCAGCCAGAGGACAGACAGAGCACUGAGGAGCCGAACAAACACACCACUGGCCCCAAUGUGAGACUGACCAUCUCUAUCUCAACAGGUGGCCAGCCCAGAGUGGAUGGAUUGCCCCCCCCAGCCCUCCUCUGUCCUCAUGAGUGACCGGCCAGUGAUACUGACCACCUCCAUGUCCCCCACCCAGACCGGCCCCGGCCCCCCAAACCCACCGUGGCCAUCCUAAAGGUGGUCUGAGCAGAACAGAAGACAACCACAGCUCCAAGUACAAGUUCAGCCCAACACCAACACCAACCCCCAGCCUGAGCCCAGCUCCACCACCACCUCCACCUGCUGCUGAUCCACCUCCAGACAUACAGUUAUGCACCACGGCCCUGUGCUACCUUGCAGAACCCCUACAACCCCCACACCCUGUCCUCAGCUCCAUCCAACACAGAGAGAC
RNAcentral lists this long non-coding RNA (4268 nucleotides) under Salmo salar (Atlantic salmon). Its description in RNAcentral is "lncRNA (ENSSSAG00000116363.1)". Lineage: Eukaryota; Metazoa; Chordata; Actinopteri; Salmoniformes; Salmonidae. The record is from RNAcentral.